UUGUGGAGUAGCUCAGUUGGUAGAGCAUGAAACUCUUAACUUCAGGGUCAUGGGUUUGAGCCCAACAUUGUGCAAA
Non-coding RNA from Podarcis lilfordi (Lilford's wall lizard), 76 nucleotides. NCBI's taxonomy places the organism in Eukaryota, Metazoa, Chordata, Lepidosauria, Squamata, Lacertidae. The record is from the annotation of a GenBank genome assembly.